Molecule: ribosomal RNA, 321 nt
Filed under: uncultured bacterium
Lineage: Bacteria
Description: bacterial SSU rRNA
Rfam family: Bacterial small subunit ribosomal RNA
Source: RNAcentral
AUUGAACGCUGGCGGCAGGCCUAACACAUGCAAGUCGAACGGUAACAGGAAGCAGCUUGCUGCUUCGCUGACGAGUGGCGGACGGGUGAGUAAUGUCUGGGAAACUGCCUGAUGGAGGGGGAUAACUACUGGAAACGGUAGCUAAUACCGCGUAGGCUCUUCUUCCGCCUGGAAGAAGAAGGAAAGACGGCCUUUGUGCUGUCGCUUGAGGAUGGACCCGCGGCGUAUUAGCUAGUUGGUGGGGUAACUGCCCACCAAGGCAAUGAUACGUAGCCGACCUGAGAGGGUGAUCGGCCACAUUGGGACUGAGACACGGCCCAA